This 560-nucleotide ribosomal RNA is filed under the name Frigoribacterium faeni. RNAcentral describes it as "bacterial SSU rRNA". It matches the Rfam family "Bacterial small subunit ribosomal RNA", at positions 867 to 1428 of the family's 1533-position model. Lineage: Bacteria; Bacillati; Actinomycetota; Actinomycetes; Micrococcales; Microbacteriaceae. The record is from RNAcentral.
CCCCGCCUGGGGAGUACGGCCGCAAGGCUAAAACUCAAAGGAAUUGACGGGGGCCCGCACAAGCGGCGGAGCAUGCGGAUUAAUUCGAUGCAACGCGAAGAACCUUACCAAGGCUUGACAUAUACCGGAAACGUCCAGAGAUGGUCGCCCCGCAAGGUCGGUAUACAGGUGGUGCAUGGUUGUCGUCAGCUCGUGUCGUGAGAUGUUGGGUUAAGUCCCGCAACGAGCGCAACCCUCGUUCUAUGUUGCCAGCACGUUAUGGUGGGAACUCAUAGGAGACUGCCGGGGUCAACUCGGAGGAAGGUGGGGAUGACGUCAAAUCAUCAUGCCCCUUAUGUCUUGGGCUUCACGCAUGCUACAAUGGCCGGUACAAAGGGCUGCGAUACCGUAAGGUGGAGCGAAUCCCAAAAAGCCGGUCUCAGUUCGGAUUGAGGUCUGCAACUCGACCUCAUGAAGUCGGAGUCGCUAGUAAUCGCAGAUCAGCAACGCUGCGGUGAAUACGUUCCCGGGCCUUGUACACACCGCCCGUCAAGUCAUGAAAGUCGGUAACACCCGAAGCC